This is a long non-coding RNA of Oryzias sinensis (Chinese medaka), 1690 nucleotides long. The record is from Ensembl. Lineage: Eukaryota; Metazoa; Chordata; Actinopteri; Beloniformes; Adrianichthyidae.
GUAGGAGGCGCCAACGUCCAAGUUUCAAAACUUUCGGCAGAUUUAUUGUAGUCGUCUUUCAAGUGGAAAGGGGUGUGGCCUUCCAAUAAGCUCACUCCUGAUUGGUGAGAGUGGUUGCCAUAGAAACUCAGACCGACUUGGACUAAUCGCUGCUUACUGACGAUGUCGUCCACCAUGAUUACGUCCGUUUCGUAGAUAAAUGGCGACUGUAUUUCUAUGGGUGACGUCACACUAACUCACUCCAGUUCUCGUAUACAGUCAAUUAUUUUGGUCCUUAACUCCUUAAAUCAACAAUACAAAUGAAAAACAUCUACAAACUUCAGGACUCGUUCUCGGUCCCCUCCAUACCGCUGCCGCCCCACCUCCUCUCAUCAGCCACAUUGGAAGGACCACGAGGGAUGCUCUGAAUCCGGAAGUGGGGAGAAGAGGAGGAACCGUCCGCCUUCAAGAGAGCAAGGAAAGGAACGUUCUUUUUCUACGAGGUGGUCUGGUAAAAGGAAGAAGUCCAGAAUCGUGGAUAAACUGACAAAGAAACUGCUGGAAACACCAGCCGUCCAGUCUCUGCUGGAGCUGCCAAACCUGGAGGAGAUGCUGAAAACUCUGAUCCCUCUCCUCCUCGCCGAGUUCAGAAAGAUCAAGUUAUUUUCUUCCCGCAACUCUUAUAAAGUGAAGAGACGGGCGACAAAGACCCGUCCCAGAAAUCCUGAUCAAACCGUUGAGAGACUUUCAGCCACUAAAGCCAAGGUUGGUGUUCAAGAUGGUGUUUUUUUUUUCUACUGUGUAUCAUCUUUGUUAUAUUUAAUUAGUUUGAAUUGAAUCAACAGAAACCAAAAGAAUAGGGUCACCUAAAAAGAAUAUAUAUUUUUUGCAUAAAUGCAUAAUAUUUUGGAAACAUACAGAGUGAUAAGUGAAGAUAAAGCUGUUUUUAAAUUGCAGGAUGAAGAUCUUCAGAGUUCUCCAGCUUCUUCUUCUCAUCAAAAAUCGGCUGACUGCGCACUGUUUAGUGAAUUAAUUGAAACGCACAAGCAGAAAGAGACCACCAAAGGGGAAGGUGUCCCAAAUGCUCCAGCUUUGCUUUUGAGAAUCCCCAAACGUUCACCUCGGAGGGUUCCAAAGGGAGCCGCAGGAGGUCCGGAGACGGGCCCAGAAGCAGAACCUCCUCAACCCGACGACGAAGCCGAAGACGUUCGGACAGAGUCCAUGGAACAUGAAGGUUCGGCUUCAGGGAAACAAAAUGACUCGCUGGACGCUGAACAACACAACACUCAUCCAACAACCAGUGAAGCUGCAGAUCGUCCCGAGGGGAACACCGUCCGAUGUCCACAAACUCCACCUGCAGGGAGAGCCCAACCGACUGCAGGGAGAACAGAGACCGAGGGGGAAACGGCAACACAGACCACGGGUACGGUUUGUUUAGUCAGUCAGUACCUGGUAAAAAAUGUCAGAUUUAUAAAAAUGAUGCACAGGUUACAUUAUUUUUACGUUUGAAAGAAACACUUUUGAAUGUUUUUUAACCUUUGUAGCUGGGAAUGUGGCUCCAGGGGGUUAAGCUGCUGCAGAGGCUUAUGGGUGUGGGAGGGGUCUGUUGACCAUCUGCACUCGCGGCUUUUUGUAAAAUGAAAAGACAACAGCGCCGAAAAUGUUUAUUUUCAUUAAUUAUUUCCUUGUUUCGCUAAACCACCGUAUCAAU